RNAcentral lists this ribosomal RNA (431 nucleotides) under uncultured bacterium. RNAcentral describes it as "partial 16S ribosomal RNA". It matches the Rfam family "Bacterial small subunit ribosomal RNA", at positions 29 to 507 of the family's 1533-position model. The record is from RNAcentral.
AACGAACGCUGGCGGCAGGCUUAACACAUGCAAGUCGAGCGCCUCGCCAGAGGAGCGGCAGCCGGGUGAGUAACGCGUGGGAACGUACCCUUAUCUUCGGAAUAGCUCUGGGAAACUGGAAGUAAUACCGAAUGUGCCCUUAGGUGGAAAGAUUUAUCGGAUAAGGCUCGGCCCGCGUUGGAUUAGCUAGUUGGUGGGGUAAAGGCCUACCAAGGCGACGAUCCAUAGCUGGUCUGAGAGGAUGAUCAGCCACAUUGGGACUGAGACACGGCCCAAACUCCUACGGGAGGCAGCAGUGGGGAAUAUUGGACAAUGGGCGCAAGCCUGAUACAGCCAUGCCGCGUGAGUGAUGAAGGCCUUAGGGUUGUAAAGCUCUUUCAACGGAGAAGAUAAUGACGGUAUCCGGAGAAGAAGCCCCGGCUAACUUCGUG